Picea glauca (white spruce) is the source of this 381-nucleotide non-coding RNA. Lineage: Eukaryota; Viridiplantae; Streptophyta; Pinopsida; Pinales; Pinaceae. The record is from Rfam.
ACAUCACUUGGACAUGGUCGGUUAGUCUAUCCUAAGAGAUGGGGAAUCCUUGUAUCAAGGGUGCACUCUGCAUGAACAUCGAAAGAGAAUUGGGUUAAUAUUCCCGAACCGAGACACGGUGGUGGACGACAAUGUUAGGAAAUAUAGAUAUGUCAUCAAGGGCCUGGGAAGAGUUAUAUUUAUUUUUUAAUGACUUUCCCACCCUGAAAUCGGUUCAACCGGAGAUAGGGUCCAACAUAUAGAAGAGAAGCACAUGCCUUGCGGUGUUUGGUGCCUCCUCGAUGGCCAUUGAAAAUGUGGAGAACCGAGUACCAUCCAUGCCCGAUCGUACUCAUAUCUACCUCCUUGGAUUUUUCAAUGUCCACUAGGUUAGCGAUCUUC